CAACUAAGAGAUGACGUCAUUAUUCUGUGACGUUCGAAAAUUAUUAUUUAUUUAUUUAUUUGUAUUGUUUACUUCUUAAAAAUGUGCCUCCGGGAACGUGCCGAAUUUUUUUUAGGUCUAAAAUUGGUCGUUACAAGAAGAGAGGACCCAGGCUAAGGGUUUAUAGAAGCAGGAUAUGCCCAAUUAUAUUUUCUCAAAUGUGUAAACAAAAACAGAACGAGUACGUUUAAAAUCCACUCCAAUAAAAUUUAUAGCACCAACCAAGUCGCCAACGAUGCUAAAGAAACGUAUAUAUCAAUAACUCCAGACAAUUGAAUAACAAACUCUUCAAAACGAAAACCUCCAUUUUCACCUUCAUCGUCUGGUUCUGGUAUUAAACUGGUAACUCCAGCUACAAUGUUAAAGUUUAUUUUGUUUAACAGCACCAUGUCAAACAUUUGGUAAUUCGAAUAUUUGUAUGCACUUUCCACAGAAAGGAAACCACAUUAUUAAUAUCAUCAAGGACUUUGACCAGUUGUGGAAAGAUAAAAAAAAUCCAAUCAGUUGAAUGGAUCCACCUAGGUGAUUCGAUCCUGCAAUGCAAGCACCUCAGGCGAGCUCUCAACCGAAUGAAUAUUCAGUAUACAAAGACACGUCAUUGGUAUGAUAAGGAUAACUUUUCAGCUAUGAGAUAUUGUGAAAAUACAAAGGAGUUUUUCUGGACUGGACGCAUGUUGCUAGUGGGUAGAUUUAUUAGAUUAAUGCGGGGAUUUGCUCACAGAGACAUGGCUAAGCAACAUGAAGCACAGAAAGGAAACUACUCCACACACAAUAGUAACAUCAAUUUUGCUGCGAUUCAACACGACUACCAGCCUUAAAAUCUUGACAUGUCAAGAAGAGCUGAACCAGGGAUCAUUUUGACAUGUCAAUAAUAGCUAAACCAGGGAUCAUUUUGACAUGUCAAUAAUAGCUGAACCAGGAAUCAUUUCGACAUGUCAGUAAUAGCUGAACUAGGGAUCAUUUUGACACGUCAAGAAUAGCUGAACCAGGGAUCAUUUUGAAAAACAUAGGCUUAAACUCUACUCUAGGAAUUAUAAUUCAGCAUCAGACGUUGUUAUGUUUAAUGGUAAAACAACUGUUUCAAAAUCGGCACCUGUCUACCUUUUAGAUCUUGAAGACGAACCUAGAGUGUUGUUUGGAGUCUGAAAAACUGGAAAUCCUUAAUGUCUUGCAAAGACUCAGUCUUAGACUACUUGAUAUUCUUUAUUAAUAUCAAACUCGACAAAUUAUCCACAUUACUGAAGUACGCAACAAAUCCUCUCUCAAAUCGUUCUUCUGAUUUCAUUGAAAAAAACCUUCGUUAUUAUCUGCGAUCGUUAAGACAAAUAACUAAAUAAUAGUAACUAAUAGUAACUAGUAGUAACUAAUAAUAAUAAUAAUAACUAAAACUAAAGCCAAAA
Long non-coding RNA from Gigantopelta aegis, 1439 nucleotides. RefSeq lists it as uncharacterized. The record is from RefSeq and is a predicted model, not a curated record. Lineage: Eukaryota; Metazoa; Mollusca; Gastropoda; Neomphalida; Peltospiridae. The transcript has 2 exons.